UAUUCUCAAUACCCCAAAUCUUUGCGGAUAAGGGUGUGUUGGACUUGGAGGUUUUUGCAGGUAAUGAUUGUAUUACCAGCUCCUCUUAAAUGCAUUAGCAGAGAUAAUACUGCUACUCUCCAGUGUGAUAAUUGUCUACACUGUUAGUAGUGCGGUAUAACAAAAUGUCUAUGCUUCUAAUUGUCUUCGGACAACUUUUGACA
RNAcentral lists this unclassified non-coding RNA (203 nucleotides) under uncultured Polyporales. Its description in RNAcentral is "sequence contains ITS2". The record is from RNAcentral. Lineage: Eukaryota; Fungi; Basidiomycota; Agaricomycetes; Polyporales.